This 740-nucleotide ribosomal RNA is filed under the name Escherichia coli. RNAcentral describes it as "partial 23S ribosomal RNA". It matches the Rfam family "Bacterial large subunit ribosomal RNA", at positions 496 to 1238 of the family's 2925-position model. The record is from RNAcentral. Lineage: Bacteria; Pseudomonadati; Pseudomonadota; Gammaproteobacteria; Enterobacterales; Enterobacteriaceae.
CAGUACCGUGAGGGAAAGGCGAAAAGAACCCCGGCGAGGGGAGUGAAAAAGAACCUGAAACCGUGUACGUACAAGCAGUGGGAGCCUCUUAAUGGGGUGACUGCGUACCUUUUGUAUAAUGGGUCAGCGACUUAUAUUCUGUAGCAAGGUUAACCGAAUAGGGGAGCCGAAGGGAAACCGAGUCUUAACUGGGCGUUAAGUUGCAGGGUAUAGACCCGAAACCCGGUGAUCUAGCCAUGGGCAGGUUGAAGGUUGGGUAACACUAACUGGAGGACCGAACCGACUAAUGUUGAAAAAUUAGCGGAUGACUUGUGGCUGGGGGUGAAAGGCCAAUCAAACCGGGAGAUAGCUGGUUCUCCCCGAAAGCUAUUUAGGUAGCGCCUCGUGAAUUCAUCUCCGGGGGUAGAGCACUGUUUCGGCAAGGGGGUCAUCCCGACUUACCAACCCGAUGCAAACUGCGAAUACCGGAGAAUGUUAUCACGGGAGACACACGGCGGGUGCUAACGUCCGUCGUGAAGAGGGAAACAACCCAGACCGCCAGCUAAGGUCCCAAAGUCAUGGUUAAGUGGGAAACGAUGUGGGAAGGCCCAGACAGCCAGGAUGUUGGCUUAGAAGCAGCCAUCAUUUAAAGAAAGCGUAAUAGCUCACUGGUCGAGUCGGCCUGCGCGGAAGAUGUAACGGGGCUAAACCAUGCACCGAAGCUGCGGCAGCGACACUAUGUGUUGUUGGGUAGGGGAGCG